Molecule: transfer RNA, 75 nt
Filed under: Niastella sp. SCN 39-18
Lineage: Bacteria; Pseudomonadati; Bacteroidota; Chitinophagia; Chitinophagales; Chitinophagaceae
Also listed under: 6 other names
Description: tRNA-Arg
Rfam family: tRNA
About the family: Transfer RNA (tRNA) molecules are approximately 80 nucleotides in length. Their secondary structure includes four short double-helical elements and three loops (D, anti-codon, and T loops).
Source: RNAcentral
GGUCCCGUAGUUCAAUGGAUAGAAUAGAAGUUUCCUAAACUUUAGAUGCAAGUUCGAUUCUUGCCGGGACUACCA